CCCAUGUAAACGCAUUUAAUGACAUCAAACGUCAUUGGUUCUGAUGUGUCUCAUUACAAAGUUUAAUUGACCAGUUGCUUCAGUGCAGAAUAAUGAAUAAUGACUUAAAUUUUAGCCAGUUCCUCACACAAAACAUCAUGUGACUUCAGAAGACUUGAAAUAUAGUGCACUAGUCAUAUGGACUGAUUUAUGAUCAUUUUUAGAGUCAAGUCAAGUCACAAUUAUUUAAAAAGCUGUGUCAAAGCAGCUUAACAGUAUUAAAUGGGGAAAUAGUGUGUCUUUCUCCUCUGGCCAGACAAACCCAGUUUAAUCUAUGCUGCAGCAGAGUCAGAUUGUGCAGAGGAUUCAUCUGGUUCCCGUGGUCUUGUCCCAAUGGCCGUCUAGAUGUCCUGGUCUCCACUUACAUUUCAGGGGAAUUAUUAAGUUUGCCCACAAAACCAGUGCAAAUAACUCAGCGCUGACCUGCCGGAUGGCUUUGGAAGGGCAACCUCCCAGAGGGACGGCGUUGGGAGCUUAAUUAGAAUGUCAGGAGACACUUUCAAAGUAGUGUGAGAUGAGAGUCCACUCCAAUGGGAAACCCGAGCCGAUCGUCUUUCCCAGUUCAAGGCAAAUUGUUGAAUGGGAUCAGACACAAGGAAUCACAGUGAGUCAAAUGGGACCCAUAAAGAACAGCACGGGGGGCGGGGGGGGGGUCUUCUUUAACAGUUUGCAUGCACUAAAAUCGUAAUGGUACAAGAACAUGAGCUAUAUUAAUACAUGCUCUCAUAGUUUACCGGAAAGAAAAUAGAGCAGCUAUGUUAAUGACAUUACGAUAAAGAUCAAGAGCCACUGUGAAGAAAUCUGAUUACCAUCAGCUCACAAGUAUUUUCUGUGGAAAAUGUUUGACAAAUAAUUAUAGAAUUAACCAAGGCUGCAUUUAUUUGAUCAGAAAUAUAGGAAAAAACAUGAAAUAUUAAUUCAUUUUAAAAUGCUGUUUUAUGUGUGAAUAUAUGUUAAAAUGUCAUUUGAGUUCUGUGAUGCGCAGCUGUAUUUUCAGCAUCAUUACUUGAGUCUUCGAUGUCACAUGAUCCUUUAGAAAUCAUUCUAAUAUGCUGAUUUGAUCCUCUAGAAACAUUUCUGAUUAUUAUCAAUGUUGAAAACAGUUGUGCUGCACAAUAUUUUUGUUUUCCAUAUUAUUUGAUGAGGUUCAAAAGAGCAGCAUUUAUUUGAAUUUUUUUUGUAACAAAUGUCUUUACUGUCA
This is a long non-coding RNA of Cyprinus carpio (common carp), 1240 nucleotides long. The record is from Ensembl. Lineage: Eukaryota; Metazoa; Chordata; Actinopteri; Cypriniformes; Cyprinidae.